GGCGCGCACAACAGGCAUCAUCAAAUGUUGAAUUGUGAGCCGAAAUAGUCGGAAAGAAAGAGGCUGGGAUAGUCUGGGUAUGAAGGAGAAGGAAGAGAAAGAAGGAGCCUGAGCGGAAAAUCAGAAAGGCAGAGGAAGAAAAAUGGGAAAGUUUUACUCCUGGGCUGCUGUCUGGUGUUUAUACUAAGGACCAGAGCGAGAGACGGACCUGCUUAUCUCACAACAAUUCUGGCAACUCCGCCGGGACCAUCUCACUUGCCUGAGGGCUUCCCUGCAUGAGGCCGCCUGAAAUCUCGUCAGCCAGCACGGGAUCCUUUGCAUUCCAUAGGUGAGGAAUUUCUCGGCCUCACGGAGGGAGAAGCCUUCGAUGUCUGUGGUCCUCUGCUGCCCUGAUGCAGACCUUACCAUUGGAGGAACAUCUUCAUGCCUUCCAACCAGGUGACGGAAUCUGGAUAAAGUCUUUUUCCAGGACCACUCCUCUGGCGCCUUCCUGGUUGGGUCCAUACCAGAUUCUCCUUACCACACAUACAGCUGUCAAGAUCGCUGAGUGGAAUACCUGGAUCCAUCACAGCCACAUCAAAACUACUGUUGUCGACUACAGCCAAGAGGUUGCCAGACCUGUUCCAGCUCUUAAGCUAAGGAGGGACCCAAAAGAAGGCAGAUGGUACAUCGCCAGCCUGUUCCAAGACGCCUGACAUCUGAUGGCCACCCUGCAUGAACUACUCACCCACCCACCCAUGAGGAAACGAAUCCAGCAGAAGACUCGCCUGGAUGUUAAACGGAGUGAGCUAGAGGAAAUUCCCAGCUAAGAAAGAGUGCCUGAAGGAACUAAUGGUUCUCAACUGCCAGUUGUCUCAAUCAGGUAACUUAGGCAGAGUAACUACAUAACUAUAGGCAUCACACAAAUGUAUAUGGAAGGAGGCUUCCUCUUUAGAUGACUGUUCAUGGCAAGGUUUGUUCACUCUUGCUCUUAGCCCCUGGUUAACUUCUGGAGCUACCACCAGGACUGCCAAACCAUCUAUCAUGCUCAUACUUCUGUAUUAUAUCAACUCUAUAUUUACCAUUAACUUUGAAUUACCACUGAAGGUUCAAUAGCAUCUCAGUGGGGCAAAAUGAGUAAUCCUGGAGCAACUACUGCUGUCUUCUUUAAGGUACUACAGGACUCUUUUCUUGCUUCUGCUGCAACAGACUAAAACAGCUACCUUUCUGGAAUUUGUUGCUAGUACAUUGCUAUGGCAGACAGUGAAAUCAUGUAAUAGUACCAAUUAUAUGACUCAUUCUUUCACACCUCAUUUCUCAGCAUCCUCAAACGUAACUUAUGCUAAACAGAGUAAACCAUAGCCUAAGUCCUUGGAAUAAACCAGAUCCUUUGUAGCGCAAUUAACAUAACCUGUGCUCGACCUUCCAGUGCCUUAUUUUUUCACGGGACUAACCAGGUUAAGACGGCAUGGAACAGCUAUUAUUUGUCAUUUUUGUUCCAUAUAUCCACCUGGCUCAAUAAA
Long non-coding RNA from Rhineura floridana, 1502 nucleotides. RefSeq lists it as uncharacterized. The transcript has 4 exons. NCBI's taxonomy places the organism in Eukaryota, Metazoa, Chordata, Lepidosauria, Squamata, Rhineuridae. The record is from RefSeq and is a predicted model, not a curated record.